RNAcentral lists this long non-coding RNA (1607 nucleotides) under Anas platyrhynchos platyrhynchos (common mallard). RNAcentral's name for it is "lncRNA (ENSAPLG00000027321.1)". Lineage: Eukaryota; Metazoa; Chordata; Aves; Anseriformes; Anatidae. The record is from RNAcentral.
UAUUGCAAAAAAAAAAAACAUAAAGCAUUUGGACUUGCCUAUUUGCUUUUUUUUUUCCGUGAGAACAAUAAGAAUGGACUACAGAAAGGAUAAUUCAAAGAACCUAGCUAUAGUGUUUUUUUUUUUGUUUUUUUUUUUUUUUGUUUUUUUUUUUGUUUUUUCCUCGCUACGCUGAAGUUCAGGUCUUAGAGUCUCUGUUAACCAUGUUAUAGUUUUUUUUUUUUUUUUUAAACUUAAUCACCUCUUCAGUCACUGGGGCAUAAAAUAGGCUGUCAUUACUGGCUACCAUUUUUGCUCCAAGGCAAAUUGCUUCCAUGUUUUACAGCAGCCUGCUCCUGUGCUCUCAACCUCUCAGGACUUACAUUACAAUUUGGGGUAUGGUGACUGUCCUACAGAUCCUGCCUUUGGUACAGGUAAUUCUAGCACCUACGGACAGGAAAAUUACAUCUAAAAUGAAGGUUAUUUUUCAAACAAUACCAUUGUGUUAUGAGUUAGAUUUUCAUGUAUUCUACAGCUCGAGUCUGAAAGGACUUGUAUUUUGCCAUUUCAGUGGUUUUAUUCUGAACCUAAAUAGGCUGACAGUUUUUUUGGCUUACUCUGUUUUAUAUUCUCUAGUCUGGCCAACUGACUUUUUUUUUUUUUUUUUUUUUUUUUUCCAUGUGCUUGUGAUUAAGGCCUGCAAGUUUAGGCACUGAAAAUUGCAAGUUGUGGUUGCUUUUCUCCUCUACUGCCCUGAAUAGAGCCUGAUGGGUAGGAUACUAUUUUAGAGGAUGGAAGAUGUGUCUGAACAUCUUAAUGCUCAAAGGGAUUUCCAUAUUGCUCUCCCACAUACUAUAGGCCUGCUUUCACAACUAAAUAUCUCUCACUGUGAUUUUAAAAAAAAUAAUAAGCCCUGCUGUGUUCUUGGUAAUAGCAUUUGUAACUGCCAGCUCUUAGGAGAGUGCUUUAGCCUCUGCUUGCCAUACAGGUAAAAGCUACCUCAGGAACAUUAACUCUGCAGAAGUAAUAAGAUUAUGGAUUUUCAGUUGUUCUCUAGUAGUCUCUCAUGUGCUGAUGCUUACCUGAUCCAGCAGUGAGCUGGUUCAGAUUUUCCAGCCAGCUGGCUCCAUAAACUGCCUUUCCAUGAUGUCAGAUAAAUGUCAGCUUGGUGCUUGACUGUCCAGACUCGGAAAGGUGGUGGGACUGCCCCUUUUGGCUGCAGUCAGUCAUUAGAUAACUUAGAUGUAUUCUCAAACUGCCCUUCUCUGCAUAUGGGGUUUUGAAUUGUGUUUCUGUAGCACCAAACUGAUUUUUAUUUUUUAUUUUUGUGUUGCUGACACAUCUGUAGGCAGACUCUGCAGUGUCUCAGACACACACAGGAUGUAGAUUGUUUGCAGAGGUCAAAUGUGUACAAGGACAAGAGAUCCAACGCAUUCAUGACUUUGCCAGAACCAAUGAGUGUGUGAACAGAGUGUUGAGUUUUUUCUUCUGUUCAAAGUAAUAUGUAGAGAAUAUUUUUAAAGUACACAUGAUUAAGCAAAUGUAAUCCACUGAAAUGAUCUAAAAUAAGCUUUUAAACUAUAACAUCUGUCCCUUAAAUUAUCCAGACCAAUUAGCUGUUAUUUGUC